GAGGCAAUGCCCUCUGCAGGCUCUGAGGUGUCUGAUAGGCGGGAAAAUAGACACCCUGUCCUAGGUGUGAUAGCGUUGUGGGAGUAGCAGCUUUGUUUAAGAAAGUAAAGAAGCACGUUCAGAAGGGGAUGAAAGUGUUCACAACGGAAGAGAGAUUCCAUAAGGCUCUGUGGCAUGAGUCAGGGCUGCAAGAAGACAGUGGUGAAGAGAAAGGUCAUUCAUUGUACAAAAGUGGUAAAGAAAGCAUGGGUGAUAUGUGUCAACUAGGAUGAAUUCUAGAAAAAGGCAGUGAUGAAGAAUUUGAAGAGAAAAGAUGCAUGGAUAGAAUUGAAUGGCCUGAAAAAUCUCAAUUCUGAGGUCAGUCAUUUUGUCCUGGGGUCUUCAGAGGUAACAGAGUGGGUUUUAAUCAAGUCAUCUGGGAAACAUCUCAAGUCAGUGGUGUCCCCAUUCCCAGUUGGAGGUGGAUGGUGAGGAGUUGAUGCUAUAGUCACUUCUUACUCAUGUCAGGGAUAAAAGGGUAUUGUUAUGUUGUAAAUAAUGUUACCUUAAAAUAUACUGUUCUUGGUCUCUUUAGAGUUGGAAUUAGAUUUUCAAAUCUACAAAAUCAAGGGAUUUCUGUUUAGCAUCACUCUUUUUAAAAUAGUAUUUCCUCCUAUUUCUGAUUUUCAAGUAAACAAUUUGUUUUCAGAACAAAGUUUUAGAGUCUAAUAUGUUUUUUUAAGAUGUUGCAUAAUUUUCCCCUUCUGUGUUGAGAAUAAGGUCUCCUUUACUAAACAGAAGAAUGAAAUUGUUUAAUAAUUUUUUUAAAAAAAAUGUUAAACACUAAUUCUGACCUACUCAAGGUAAAGUUCUAGUUUGUGGGAAGAAGUAGUGGUCAAAUGUCCUUUACUUUUAUAGCUAAAAUCUAAGUAUUUAUCCAUGUUUUAUCAACAAUAUAACCUUGAAUGUGAGGUCUUGCUUUUUAUUUGCUACUUUUCUAAUCUUUUUCAGCUAGAGAAAGUCAAGUCCAGAAAUUCCAUAUCUGUAAUUCUGGCUGUUCUCUUCCACCGUUCCAACCCAGAAACUCACAAGCACAAAUUUCCCCCUGACAUGUUUAUAUAUAUAAACAAUGUUAAGGUCCAGCACUUAGAGAUUUGAUGGUUUAAGACAUUCGAUUUAUACAUGAAGAUCUUUCCACACUUGCAAAGAAAUUCCCUCCAUUAUACAUAGUCAAAAUAUUUUUCUUUGACAUGAGCUAAUUUUCUAAAUAAUCUCAUCACAUUCCUGGCACCAUAAAUUCAUAGCUUAAACUAUGCUAAAUUGAAGACUAGGACUUUAAUAUUUUCAGUGGACCAAUUUACUUUUGUCUCCUUUAUUCCUUGCAUUAAAUUUCUCACUUCAGGUAUGUUAUAAAUAAAUAAAAAAGGUAAUAAUGAGAUUUUAAAAAUACUUUUUUAACCUCUCAAGAUUUUCAAGAAACACUCUUAAAGGCAAAGAUCACAUAUGAAUGAGUGAAGUCUGAUUCAAUACAUUCUGACUAUGUACUCUUUGAAGUGGUCCUAAAUAAGUAAUUGAAAUCUGUCUUUUCUCUGAACUUGAAGAUUUUAGAAAUACAGAGGAAAUUCUCAUGAUAGUCCUUAAAAUAACUUAUAGAAAUAACUUUCCAUAUCUAAUAAAUUCUAAAAUGAAAUUUUUAUAUUUGUGAUUUUAAAAGCUGACUAGGAUAGGAAACCUUUCUAAUUCUACUGACAAUGUGGAAACAAACUAUGAAUUAUUCAUAGAUUCUUCUCCAUUGUAUAUUAUUAUGUUUAAUUGAAAUAAUUUGGGGGUCUUUUAAGCUAAGAAAAUGUGCCAGAUUUCACAUCAUUUUAAUAUUUUUUAUAGAUGUUCACCAUGUAAGUAGUAUUAUUAAAUAUGAGGAAGUUAAAGUUUGUUGAAUAUUUCUCCUCAUUUCUUUUAUUAAUUCUAUGAAGUUAAAAUGAAAAUCACUCUUUGUUCCACAAAAAAGUUGCAGAUAAGCCAUCAUUGGUCUCUUUCCCUCUGCCUUGGUAAAAGUUUAAUGCACUCAAAACUUUGAAUUGAAGCAAGACAAUACCAUGACUCAGAAGGAGAUAAAAACAAAAUCCCUUAGCUUCAGAGUUAUUCUUAGAAAUUUAUUAAUAAUAUAUACAUAUAUACCUCUUUUUAAUUAGUGAUGCUAUCAGCUUUAAGUAUAACUCUAAUUAUGGAAACGACUGUAGUAUAAUACGGCAGACGACAGUAGCUUUUUAUAAGAACUGAUUGUAGGACCUGCAUGUAAAUGACUCUUAGAUGGCUCACCAGAGUAAAAAUUAUGCAGAAAGAUUACAUUCUCCCAAAUGAUACAGUGCCUUAAGAGAGUAUUCUUAAACCCUGCAAGUAUGUAGGUAUCUAGUGAUAAGAAAGUUAACAAGAACAAAAUAAUACUUUGAAGUUAAAUCAAUAUAGAUUUUAUUGAAUUGGGCUGUUUAAUAAUGUUUUGUUUUAAAUAACCCAGAGGGAACAUUUUCUCUGUAAAUUCUUAUUCUCUGGCUCUGGCCCUGCUAUCAGGUAGGCUCUGCUAUUGAGCUGGCAUAGUUUCACUAUUAAUUGCUGAGCAAAGAAUGUAGCACUUUAGCUAGUGCAGAAACAUACCAGUUCUUUUCUUUUUCUUUGCUUCCCUACCUCCCUCCCUCUUUCCUUCUCCUCUCUCUCCUUCCUUCCUUCCUUUUCUUUCUUUCUUUUGACAAUUCACUUAACUUUUUCCUAUCUCUUUCCAAAAGUGACCUCCCAACUUUGUUUUCUACUCUCUUCUCUCUGUUAAUUUCGGCCUCCCAUCUGUAAUUCUCUGGAACUGCUAACGUCUUUCAUUAACAAGCACAGCCCUCCUGAGCUAUCAAGCUAAGCCUAAUCUGUGAAAGAAGCAUAUUAAUAGGUUCCACAUAUGCCAUGUCUGGAAUUAUUCUUGCUCAUAUAAUUUGAGUAUUUGGUGGUUUGAAUAAAGUGCACAGUUUUUCCCCAUAGGGAAACAUUAUCUUUAUUAUCUUAGUUAGGAAACAAAUCAUCCCCUGCCCAGAAGUGAUAACCUAACUUCCUGAGUACUCAGCAAACUGAAUGGGACCAGUAUGUAGAGCCUGGCUCAGUUCUUAGCACUGGUUUUUAACUUAGAUGCUCCUGUCUCAGAUGAACCUGGACCCCAAGCAUACUCUACUUGACUGGAGCCCUUCCAUGUCACCCAGUGUUGUUAAUCUGUUUUACCAAGGUGUGAUAUCAUCUCUGCCUUGUGUUCCUUUGGUAACUGAUGAAUGCACCUUUGACCCCAAGGUCUUGAAUUUGAAUCAGAUUGGGAAUAUCAAGGUAAGCAAAUACACAGUAAACAUAGCUCAAUCAUAAAUUUUUGGGCUUUUGUCAGACUAUACAGUAGAUUUCACAGAAAUCUACUUCAUUCAGACUUUUCCUCUGAUACUGUUGAAUUGUGGAACAAUUCUUCAUGACAUUCCUGUAUGACUGUGUCAGCUUUUAUUCCUGGAUAGUUUUUUAAGAAUGUUUGCCUGUCGGUCAGUCUUAAUAGUCUUGAUAAAUAAGAUGGUGUAUCCCUGUGAUAAAUGCCAGAUUUGUUUCCUGGCCAGGAAAAUAAAAAUAAUAUUUCUCUUUUGAACAAAAGUUGACCAAGUUAGCUAGCAUCACCCUUUAUAAGAUCAGGGGUUUUCUAAGUAUGGAGUUCAUGAACUGUGAAAGAAACCAUUGUAUGUUCAUUGUCCACCUUGACCCAUCUAUAUUACCCCCAUGGAACUUGGGGGGCACAAAGAACAAGAUUUAAAUAUGCUUCUGCUUGCAGCACUUUGAGUAAUAGAGCCCUCAGCUAUUAUAGGAGUUUUGUCUUCCACAAAUGUGUAUGAAAUUGUGGCAGGCUUAAAACUAAGACCCUUCAGAGUUCUUGCUAUUGUUCUACCAUUUUCAUGAAGUGGAAAGAAUGCAGACUUUAGCCUAUACAAGAGUUUCAAUUCAGUCAGUUAUGUACUUUGUGAUCUCAGAAAUUAAUAGUCUCUCUCUCUGUUUCCCCUUUCAUAGCACAACUGAAAAUGAAGAAAAAAUAUUUUUUUUGUUGUAUAUUACAUUGUGGAUCCAAUUCACAGAUUUUUACUUUUCACCAACUAAUUUGAUUAAUCCAAGAUACUCAAGUCUCCAAAUUUCUUAUUGUUUCUAGAAGUAGAAUUUUCAUAUUGUAAAAAUUCUUGCUAUGGGAACAACUUCUGAAAUAAAAUAAAUUUAAUUAGGGUAUAUACUUUAAAAAAAAGAUCAGAAGAACUCCUUUAAAAUUUUUUAUUUUCAAAAUUUAAAUUAAAUUAAUUUUAAAUUGAUGCAUAGGAGCAUAAAAUGGUACAUAUUAAUGGGGUACCAUUUAACAUUUUGAUAUGUGCAUACACCAUAUAAUGUUUUAUUCAGGUUAAAAAUACCCAUCUUCUCAAAUAUUUAUCAUUUCUUUGUGGUGAAAACAUUCAAAAUCUCUUCUCUUCACUGCUUGAAAUGUAGAGUACAUUGUUGUUAUCUGUGGUUACUCUUCUGGGCGAUAGCACACCAGAACUUCUUAAUUCUAUUUAACUUAGUAUGUAAGCAGCAUACAGCUAUAUUAUUUUGGAAGGAAGAAAUUGUGAAAUAUAAUUGUUAUUCACCAGAGGGUGCUAUUGCCAUCUGAAAUGAACAGUACCACACACAAACUUCAGGUGUCAGGAGCUUAAACUUUUGCUUUGGGAUACAUAAUGUUAAAGAUAUUUUCUUACUAUAAAGAACAGGGGCAGGGGGAAUAAUAGUAUUUUCCCUUCAACCUUUUUUCCCUUCUAUUAUUUCACCAAAACUCCAUCAAAUGUCUAUCCCUCUAGUUAAGCUACAUGUCAAAUGAUAUUAAAAUUAUUUGAGAUCACUUGAGUCAUAAAUAUUGAUAGUGACUAUGGUUAAAGAACAUGUUGGUAUUUCACAAAAUGGUACAGGAAUAUGUAAGCAAAUUUGAUAUUCUGAAAUACAUUUUUAUUUUAAAUUUACUUCAUGUUUUUAUCAUGAAAAACACUAACAUUGAGUCUGGGGUUGUGGCUCAGUGGUAGAGUGCUCGUCUAGUAUUCAUGAGGCACUGGGUUCGAUCCUCAGCACAACAUAAAGUAAAAAAAAUAUAUUGUGUUCACCAAAAAAAAAAAAUAUUAAAAAACCCCACUACAUUGUUAUUAUACAAUACAAUAUUAGUUGAAUAUAUAUAUAUAUAUAUAUAUAUAUAUAUAUAUAUAUAUAUGAUAGGAGAAUAAUAGUAUGACUUUUGCUCAUAAGGUUCAUAGCUCCUAUUCAAAUAAGAAAAUAAACAUCAGUUGUUAUAGCUUUCAUUUCUUUUCCUAUUUAAUGCUUCAUGUGUAUUUCCCCCUGUGUAAAUAAAAACUUUGUGAAUAUUUUAAUGGUUGAGUAUUAUUUUAUUUUGUUGGGAUGAGUAAAUGUCUUAAUCCACAAUGGUUUGGACAUUUUAAUUGUUUCUAGAUUUUUACUUUUAUAAAAUUGAUGUGAAAUUUAACAUUUCUUAGUGAGCAUAGCUUUGCUCACUUCUCAGUCUAGUCCUAGCUUAAUAAAAAUUUUCUAACUAAAAAUAUUUCUUUAAUCAUAUGAAAUAUAGUCAUAUAAACUUGAUAUAUAUCAGGAUGAUGUAAUUUUGCCUCCCCCUUUUAUUUCAAAUUAUUUCCUACCAGUGUUUAUAUUUCCUGAAAAAUAGGCUCUUAUGUCUCACUUGUACAAGUUUGCAUUCCCUGAGAUGAUACUAAACCAACAGGAAAUAUUAGCAUUUACAAUAAUUUUGCAUAGUUUACCUUCCCCUUCUUGCAUAUAAUUAUCCUUUGUAUUGGGGGGUAAAAUAUAUUUCAAUGCACGAUCCAUAUAGUCCCCUUCCAUAUAUAAUUCCUCUUCCUCUAACUUUGUCUCCAGGCAGAAGAAAAACUUUUAUAAACCUCCUACCAAGAGCAAUAGUCACAGUGGACUUUCUGUUCAAGACAUUUGUUUUGUCUUUCCUCUUCCAUGGAGAACAGUAAAGAAGGGCAUCUAGGCCCAGUAAAUGCAAUGAAUCACAAUUGUCUGGCUGAUGCAGACUGUGCAUGAAAGACAAAUGGACCCUGGUGGUAUUCAAGGCGACUCUUAAAAAGAGCCAGGCAUUCACAACCCUGAAAACCUCAUAAUUAAAGUUGAAUGUGUAAACUGAAAUGAGCAUGUGAGAAGAACAACAGAUUAUUUUUCAGAUCUCUGUUCUCAGUGUAUAGGUGGGUGGUGUUCAGUUAAAUAGGUAGCACUGCCAACAUCUCAACAACUCCCCCAAAGUUCUCUUUUUGUGUUGGCUUUUGCCUUCUAUCAGACUUAAUGUUGUUGCUGGGAAAAAAAUAAAUCAUAGUUCAUUUAGUGUGUACUGGCCAUUCCUUAUUAAACUGGCAAUGGAGAAUCAGGCUAGAAAGUUUAUUAAAUUUGAAGAUUGAUGAUUAUUGAGAGCCAGCAUCUCAGUUCUGGAAAUACUUUGUAUGUUUCAGUUUCAAUGACUAACACAGAGAAGUCCUCCUCAGGCCCCUGCUGCUAGAUGAUACAGGCAUAAAAAGGAGACUUCCAAUUAAAAUGAACAACACAUUUUGCUUUGUGUUCUGGGAAUGUUUCAAAAAGUUUGGGAAAGAAUAGGCUUUUCUCCUGAAUCAAAACCAAUAAUUUUGUUUAGAUUUGGAACAGUUCUCCAAAUUUUGUUUUAAUACUUUGUGGGCACAUUAGAAAUAUUAGUAACAUUUUUCAGAGGGAGCUUUCCCAAUAGCUAAAGCAGGAGCUAGGGUUGAGAACUGAGAACCAGCACUAAGGUAACUUCAGGGGCUUUCUAUUAAAGAUCAAAGAGGUCUGUCUACCUGGCCAUGACUGGCAUUGCCAUCUAUUAAAUCAGGACAUCAGGACCUUAUCUCCAACAUUUGACUGAAGACUUCCUAAAAGCUUCCCUGUUUAUAAUAGAGUAAGAAUUAUAAGAGUUCUACAUCCAUGGAGUACCUAUUCUGUGUCAGGUAAUGUACUAACCUCUUUAUUUCUCACAAGAUAACUAAUCAUAUUAUUUCUAUUAUUUUAUUGGUGAAGAAACAAAAAUUAGACUUAAAAAUACAUUGCAAGUUACACAUUAAGAGACAGAGUGAGGAUUAAAUGUUAAGUAUUUCCUCCCAAACACUAUGAUUUGAGGCCCUGUUAUAGUAUUUGAAAUUCCUAAACUUCAUGUUAGCUACAGAUUAAAAAGUUUGCUCUCAUAUGAAUUUUCAAAAUCUCUGAAACAUUUGUCUGAACAUGAACUUCUCUUAAUUCUACAUUAUAAUACCCCAAAUUUGAGCAGUGGAAACAGCAGGAGUCCAGUGUAAUUGUUAAACAUAAUCAAACGUAGCUUUGUGAAUCUCAAGCUCUAGAUUUUACAGAUUAAAGGUGUUGAUAACUUUUGUUUUAUAAUGGUGUAUAAUUACAUUUUUAAAAAAACUUACGUGACCAAAACAUUGUUCCUAGGAUUCAUAGCAUCUAAAAAUGCCUGCUUUUAAUCAAAUUAGUAAUGUAGUAUCUAUUGAUGAGACAUUAACGUUUUUUUCUGUGACAUAAUUAGUGUUUUCAUAUCACAGAAAGGACAUACACGUAGUAUCUUUUGAGGACAGAAUGGGAAGAAGAGUUUGAUUGUUGGCACUGAUGCUAGUUUAACCAAGUCAUUCUAAGAAUCCAGUCUGUAUAUUUGAAAAUAUGUACAUAAAAGUUUAUAGUGUGAAAGUGUGAUGUGGAAGCAGAUUUAAACUUCUCAUUUUUGAGUGUGUGUUUGAUGUACCUAAUUAAUAAAGUACAAUACAUGGGAGGCUUAAUUCCAAGGGGUUUUUGAGGGUGGUGAUGAAUUUUGUUUUAGACAGCAAGCAAAAAUCUAGAGAGUGAAUUUUCUAAAACAAACAUUAACCUUUCAUUGAAUUGCACUAUUUCUUGUUUUUUGUGCCAUUUUAAACUUUAGAUAUGCCCCUCUCAAGUAUAGCUGUUAUGGUUGGAUCUUAACUGUCCCUCAAAUGCCAGGCACUAAUGUCUGGGUUGCCAGCCUGUGGUGCUAGAGACAGGUGAUGGAACCUUCAGGAGGUGGAGCCUAAUGAAAGGAAUUUAAGUCUUUGGGGGGAUGUCCUUGGAGAGGAUAUUUCUCUUUCUGCAUCCUGGCUGCCAUGAGGGGAGCAGCUUUGCUUCACCAUGUGCUUCCCCACCAUGAUUUUCUGUCUCACCUCAGGCCCCAAAGCAAGGAAACCAGCUAACUAAGGACAGAAACCUCUAAAACUGUGAGCCAAAAUCAAUCUUUCCACCUCUUCAGCUAAUUUCUUUAGGUAUUUUGUCGUAAUGACAGAAAAUCUAACACAAUCCACAUUUUAUUGUUGAGGGUUGCUAACAAGGUAGUAGACAUUUAAACAAGAUAAAAUAAGUUCCUAGGAUGUAUAAAAGAAGAAAAUAUUUCAUUACUCUCCUUUUCCCACCUUUAUCUUGUUUUAAUUGUUUAGAGGUUACCACGUACACUCUCUUAUAAGGAACCAAUGAUGACAAAUGUUCUCCUUCUUACUUUAAUUGAAAUCAACAUGAGGAGCAUUAUCUUUGUACCAGACAUAGAAUUAGGAGCAGUGUCCCUAUUGAAACCUGUCUCCAAAUCCUCUAUUACUAAGUUAGCAAUGUUCCUCUGUAGUUUCAGCAUGAAACUUCCCAUAAAUUACCCUUUUCUUUGUGAAUUGUCCAAUGCUGGGGCUCCAUACUACUGUGAGCCCCUCAUACUAUACAUUCUAUGUAACCCUGUGUGGGCCCAUGAAAUCUCAUGCUGUUGCAGUUCUUCCUGCUCUGAGCUUCCCUUCUAGUGUCUAAUAGUAUGCAUUGAACUUGUAUUCUAUAAAACCUCAUAUUUUGCUUUUGUCUUUAGCCAACAGUACAGACUAUUUGGGCUCCCUUAUUUAAUUACUCAAAGUCUAAAAUGGAAAUCUCCUAAGGCUUUGUUAUUUUACUAUCCAUUUACAAAGACCUGCAUUUAAAUAUGUUAAGAUCAAAAAGUUUUAUCCUUCAAUAAAGUAAAUGCUUUUUGUUAGUCUUUCUUUCUUUCUUUUUUCCAUUAAAACAAUUGUUCCUUAUACAUGAUAGUAGAAUCAAUUUUGACAUAUUUGUACAAACAUGGAAUAUAUUAUUUAUUUAGUUAUUUUUGAUGAAAGCUAGAUAGAGCAGUAUUCUAAGCUAUAUAUUUAUUUGAAACUAUAAAAUCUCGUUGCUUUUAUAACACUUACUUUAUAACACCCAUCUUCAAUAUGAGGUAAAGUGAGGACUAUAUAUCUCAACUAAACUUUGGGAAAAUUUUGCUCAAGAACCUAGAAAUUACCUUGAUUUAUAUUCUUCCUAAUCAUCUUUUUUUCUUAAUAGUACAGUUGCUUCUAUUUUACUUUCUCUUGUUUUCAUUUUCUAAAAAUACAAAAGUCACUAUGAAAGGAUAUUUUGUUAGUUUUAUAUUAUUAUAUUGAAAUACCUAAGGCAAGUAAAUUAUAAAGGGACAAAUUUUAUUUUGGAUUCCUGUUCGGUAGAUUCUAGUUCAAAAUUUAAGUGGCGCCAUCAAUUUGGAUCUCUCACAAGGACAACACAUUAUAAUGGAAACCUGUGGUAAGACAAAAUGCUUACCUCGUGAGUCAGGAACCAAAAAAGAGGGAUAAGAAGAGAUCAGGGUCCCACAGUCUCCUUCAAGGGCAUGCUAAUAAUGACCCAGAGACCUCUUCAAGGCUCCGGGACUUAAAUGUUACAUCACUUGUCAAUAGCACCAUGCUGGGGAUCAAGCCUUUAGCAUAUGAACAUUCGGGGAACUUCAACAUUCAAAUUGCAGCAGAUAGCUGUUUGGUGAAAAUUUGUUCAAAUGAUUAAUUAACCAAUUUUGUGUAGCAUUGAUUGAUUAUACCUUAAUGAUACAGAGGAAAGGACCUCUUCUUUUACUGGAUUUCUGGUUGUAAGGCAGCUGCUUAAAGACAGCAGAUUAUUUUAUAGCUACAGAGAUAUAUAAAGCUUUUUUUUUUUUUUCUUGUUGUGCUGAGUAUUGAACCCUUGUGCAUGCAAGGUAAGCACUCUACCAACUGAGCUUUAUCCCAGCCCUGAGAUAUAAAACUUAAUAACAACACUUAAAAGGCACAUUAACCAUUGAUUUGCUUUAAAAAAAUAAAAUUUUCUGUCCUAUGCAUUUUACAUGAAUGGAAUUUAAACAGUAUAUGAUUUUUAUCUGUCUAGCUUUUACCACUUAGCAUGUUUUCAAGGUUUAUCACUGUUGUAGCAUGGUAGAUGGUCGAAUAGCAUUUCAUCAUAUGAGCAUACUACAUUUAAUUUAUCAAUUCUCCAUUUGAUGGAUCCAAAAAAAAUAAUAGAAUUAAUGAAUGUGUUUAGCACUGUUAUAAAUGAAUACGUGAAAAUCGUUUGUAUUUCUAUUUUAUAGUAAUGAAAAUCUUAAGCUGAAAUUUAGUACAAAAUACAACUCAGAAUAGUAUUAAAAAUAAUAAAAUACUUAAGAAAAAUUUAACAGAAGUUUAACUUUUGUACACUGAAAGCUACAGAACAUUGAAAAAUGUAAAGACAUUCCAAAUGUGUGCAUUGGGAGCAAGUGUGAUUAAGAUGGCAAUGCUUGAUGAAUACAUCUAUAGAUUCAACAUAAUUUAAUACUGUCUAAUUUGCCUUUUACCAGAAACUGACAAGCUGAGGCAAAAAUUCAUAUUGAAAUGUAAAGAACCCAGAAUGGCUGAUACAAUCUCAAAAAAUUGGAGGAUUCAUACUCUAUCAAAACAGGAACAAAAACAAACACAGAACAACAGCAACCAAGAGUAAGUGGUGCUGACAUAAAGAAAGGCAUAUAGAUCAAUGGAAUAUAAUUGAGAAUCACAAUUAAACACACUAUGAACAAUAGUGUUUUUUUUCAACCAAGGGUACCACAAAAAUUUAAUCAGAAUAGUCUCCAGUGAUGAAUUAUCCAUACACAAAAGAAUAAGGCUAGACCUCCCACGUAUAAAAUAUUAACUCAAAAUGUAUCAUAGACCUAUAAUAAUGAAAACCCUAAACUGAAAUUUGGUAAAAAAUGCAAUUUAGAAUAGUAUUAAGAAUAAUAAAAUACUUCACUUAUGUUAAAUUUUUAGAACUAACCCAAUAAACUGUUCAGAAAAAAAAAUGCGAGUUAAUGUUCAUGAUCUUAUAUUAGGCAAUGGUGUCUUAUGAAGGACAAAAGCAUAGAAGAUGAAACAAAUAAAUAAUUAGACUUCAAUGAAAUUUAAAACUUUUAGCCUCCUAGGACACUAUUAAGAAAGCAAAAUGGCAAUCCACAGAAUAUGAGAAAAUACUUGCAAAUCAUAUAUGUCAUGGGAGACUUGAAUCCAGAAUAAAUUACUCUUAAUAACUCAACCAUAAAAAGAUAAAUAACUAAAAAAUGGACAAAGUUUUUUAAUAAAUAUUCUCCAAAGUAGGUAUACAAAUGGCCAUUAGAUGCAGAAGAGAUAUUCAAUAUCAUUAAUCAUGAGGGAAAUGCAAAUACAAAUCACAGUGCAAUGUCCCUGUAAACACACUAGGAUGGCUACAAUAAAAAAUGCAUGUGGUCCCCUAAAGUUCAGGAAAUAAUGCUGAGAGUUAUUAAAUGGGAUGGCAUUGAAUUAUAAAGAUUCUGCCAAGCAAAGAAAACAAUUGAGAAUGUAAAGAGAGAACCUAUGGAAUGGGAGAAAAUCUUUGCUAGCUAUUCUUUUGAUAUAAGAUAAAUACCUAGACUAUAUAAAUAAUUUAAAAAAUAACACAAAAAAAUCAAACAAACAAAUAACCUAAUUAAUAGUGGGCAUAUGACUUAAACAGACACUUUUCAAAAGAAGAAAUGAAAAUGGAUAACAAAUACAUGAAGAAAAUGUUCAACAUCAUUAGCAAUCAGGAAAAUGCAAAUUGAAAAAAACCAUGACCCCAAAUAAACUUUUCCUCUUCUAAAAUUAUUCUUGUCGAGUCUUUUAGAUACAGCAGUGAAAAAGCUAAGACUAUAGUGUAAACGGAUACCAUUGUAUUUUAUUUAUUAAUCUCGUGUCUUGCAACCUUCAACAUUUUUUGGUUUACUUUUUAUUUACUAGUUCUAGCAGAUUUUGUGUUGGGGUGUAUGUGUAUUUUAGAUUUUUCUGCAUAAAAUAACAUGUCAUUUUUGUGUAAGAUCAAUUUAUACUUCUUUUUUCAAUAUGGUUGUCUUAAUCAUUAUCAACCUCAUCAUCAUCCUUUGAGUUCGAAACCUCCUGUACAAUGUUGAAUGAGGCAUCAAGAUCAGACAUUCUUGUGUUUUGCCCUCUGUUAGGAGAAAAGCAUUUAGUCUUUAAUCAAUAUGAUUUAGCCAUCAGGUUUUGUAUAUAUCCUUUAUCAGGCAAACAAUUCCCUUCUCUCCCCAAUUUGUUAAUAGAUAUUUGUGAUUGUGUGUUUUGUUUUUGAAAUACUUUUUUUUGCAUCUAUUGUAAUCAGGUGAGUUUUGUCUUUUAUUCAACUGACAGAUUGUAUUACAUCAACUGAAUCUGAAUGCUAAAGCCUCCUUGCACUACUGAGAUAAGUCCUUAUUUAUGAUGGACCUUUCGUAAAUACUGCUGUAUUUGCUUUGCCAAUAUUUUAUUAAGGAUUUUGUGUCUUUGUAUGAGCAAUAUUGGUCCAUAGUUUAUUUUUUCUUGUGAUGUCUUCAUUUGACUUUGGUUUCAAAGUAAUUGGUAUCAAGGUAACAGUUACAAUUGGUACAUUCUCCCACUGCCUAUAUUAUCUGAGGGAAGGAUUAGGUAUUUUCUACUUUUCAAAUAUGUAUAAAAUUCACAGUAAGGCAGUCAGAGGGUAGUCCAGUGGCUGAUGUAAGUCACUACUUCCACUGUUAAGUUGACUCUUCACACAUUUCAUAGUUUAAUUGUAUGAAAAGACAACAAGCCUAAACGAAGGCAGAUAAUUUAGUAUUUAAACAACAAAAACAAGAUAAGAAUAUGUCAACUCCCUAUGCCCUUAGUCCCACUGGAUGACAUCAGACCAGAGUGCAGCUGACAGACAACAAGUAGUGUUUUCAUGGAGAAAGAGACUUUAAACUAUAUCGAGUUUUCAUAGAUUUCCAGAUAAAUAUAAAGAUGUAUCUUAAGGUGUGCCAGUUGGAAAGUUCUUCCCUCAACUGAAAUUAGGGAGAUGGCCGUCUCCCACAAGAUAGGACUGAGAAAUUGCCUUGCCUCAACCUCAUCAGGCCUAUCUCCCCUUGCUCCAGGAGGAAUUACAGGCCAUUGCACCAAAAUUGGGGUUAGACUGAAGUCAGACCCUGCCUUCAAGACCUGCCAGAAGGGCCUGUGGAUAUCAAGGUCAACGGGGUCCUUGGGAGAGCCAUUUUCAUAAAAUCCACCUGGGCUUGGGCUUUUCUUUGUGGGAAGAUUUUUAAUUACCAGUUUAAUUUCUUUUCUUUUAGAUCUAUUCAGAGUUUUUUUUGUUUCCUCUUCUAUUGGAAAGAACAUUUCUUCAAUCAGUUUUGAAUAUUUCUUUCUAGUAAUUUGCCCAUUUCUUCUAAGUUAUCUAAUCUGUUGGCAAAGCACUAGAGUAUUAAUGCUUUCUGUCAUUCCUAAAAUUGGCAAUUUUCAUCUCUUUUUUCCUAGUUCAGUCUAACAACAAGUUUGUCAAUUUUAUUAAACUUGUAAAAGAGCUAAAUUUUAAUUUCAUGGAGCAUUUCCAGUUUUUAAAUUUUCUGCUUCAGUGAUUUUUCUAAUUUAUAUUACCUCUACACUGAUUUACAUUUUUUUUUCCUGUUUUUAUCUGAUCUUCUUAUGUGGGAGCUUCAAUUACUGAUUUCAAAUCCUUUUUUUUUAGCUGCAUUCUACAAGUUUUGAUAAAUUGUACAUUCAUUUUUAUUGAGUCUUCAUUAUUUCAUCUAAUGAAUCAGAUCUGAUGUUCACAUUUAUUUUGAAGAGCAAACUAACACAUUUAAAGAUACAUUUGUAAAGUUUGUUGAGUUAAAGGUUUGUGAGUGACAUGGCUUUUGAUAUUCCCAGCUUGAUUUUUAUACUUUAUCAUGUUGUUUUUAUCCAAAGCUAACAGUGUGGAAUGUUUCAAUGUGCCAAGAGAAGAAUACAAAGUUUCUGCAAGAUUUGGAAAAGAUGAUUAAUACUUGAUGAGAAAUUUAUCUCACUCCAAACAAUUGGAUUGAAUUUGCUGGUACUUCGGUCGUGAAGCUGUCCUGAAAAGACAUUUAUUUCUGUUUGCUCUGACUGUCCCUAUGGUUAAAGAGCAAAAAGUGUUCCUAAGGCAGAAAAUAGCCCUGUAAGAAGCUGCCAUAAUUGAUACUAAAUUCCAAAGGCCCUGAUUUUAUUACUGGAGUGUUAUUAUAUGGGGCACUAAUGUACACACAUUAAAAGGAGAAUGGUUAUGUAUUUUAUUUCAAUAUUCUUUAGUUCUUGUUUAACUAAACCUAGAAUUAGUGCUGUAAUAUUUUUUAUAAUAAAUGUAGGAUUGAGAGUGUUUUGGAUCUUGCAUGAUGUACCUUUGAUGGUGUUGAAUGAUGAUAUUAUUCUUACUUCAUUAUAGAAAAGCCUAGAUCAUAAUCCUGGCUUCAACUAGUGGGGCCACUUUGGAGAAACUAAGCAGAGACUGGAAAGAGAUAAAUCAGAACAGAAGGUAGAUUCUGAAUGCUUAAAAAUUUUAAAUUAAGUUAUGAAAAUAAGAGGAAAUAUUUAAUUUAUUAGAAUUUGAUUUUCUCUUGAUAAUGGAGGAAAAUCAUGGCAGCUAGCCAUAAUUGUCUUAUAUUUGUGAUGUUGUCUAGGGGAUAAAUUGAUCUCUUUGCUUACCUUCCCCAAUGCCUAUUUUUUACACUUCUGUAUCAAGACUUUUCAUGUUGAAACUCAUAUUUUAGUUAUUUCUAUAUAUAGUGUUUUUCUCCCAAUGAUUUUAAGUCCUUAAGGGUAAAGACUUAUGUUACAUUCAUUUUUGAUCUCUUAUAGUUUAUACAAAUAUAUAUAUAAAAGUUUUAGUUCAUACCCAUUAAAUUGAAAUCAAACGAACAAAGAUUUGAAGCUCAAGUGAUGAAUUUCAGAUAUAAAAACAGAGCAUAUGAAAAUGACAAUGGAAUUUUCAAGCAAUGUAGAGUCCUAAAAUAUUGUAUACAGAAAUAAAUGGACAAAUAGUGCCUUAAAAUGGUAGUCCUAGAGAUGCAAGCUUUAAAAUGAUAAAGUUCUUCUAAAUGUAAAUAUUAUUUCAGUUAAAACUAUGUAGACUAUCAUCACAGCAUAUGAUGUACUUUGAACAUGUGAACAAAAUCUCUUGGUUUCUAAAAAUGAGUAAUGUUCUAGAAAUUGGAGUAGUCUAAAAGAUAGGAAGAACUACUGGUAUUUUUGUAUGCAAUUUCUAGUUCCUAAUUAUGAGAGUAUAUGUUUACAGUAACUUUAAGUUGCCUCAUCUUUAAAAUAAAAAUUUAAAAAAUUUAGGUCAGGGACUCUUCUAGUUUAAUUUUCUGUUUGUUAAAUUAAAUAUUUUAAUUCACAAUACAUUUCUACAAUGACAUGAUGAAACUCAUGAGACCGACACAUACAUUGGGUUAAAAUAUAAAUGUAUUGUCUAGCAGCAUUCAUAUGAAGUGUUAUUUAGGUUUUAAAUUGUGAGAUUUUUCUGAAAUUGCUAACUAAAGGACUCAAAGAUAAUCUUGACUUUAGAAAACAAUAAAUAGCAGUCAUCCAUAAACUUAGAGGGAAAUAGACAUAAUUUUUGUAAUUGUUUUUCCUUCUCAGUAAUAAAAUCCAUAAUUGUUCCUAGUAUGUUUAUGUUAUUCUAUGAGAAGUAAUUAAAUCUUCUGUGAAGAGUACUUUGAAGAUAAAAAAUAGAACUAAAAACGUAAGAUUUUGUUGUUAUUCUUUGACUUUCAUCAGUACUUUUGCCAAGUGCUUUUCUGAACUAAAAAAAAAAAAAAAAUAGCCCUUGAGCAACCCCCAGGAUUACCAAAAGACCAGGUAAAAGAACCUAUUUAGUACUUAGCUCUUUCACAGCAACUGUGGGUGAGUUAUUUCUUGAAUUCAUUCUGUGGGUAUUUUGAAUGCUUUGACUUUAUUUGAACAUUUUUUUUUUAUUGGAUAGGAGUCUAAAUUAGAUUGGAGCUGAUAAAUAAUUGAGCUGCCUCCAGUUAGAAGCCUUAGGUAGGUACUAUUUGAAUGUGGGGUUUUUUGAUUCUAAAGAGGGUGGGCCUUCAUUUUCUGGGACUCUGGAUGAUUUAGGCAAGAAUUACCAGCCUAGAAUCUAUGUAUGUUUGGAAAAAUGCAUUAGCCAUACUAAGGACAACUUUUAAUUAUAGCAGACACUGAGGGGAAGUUUUAAUCUAGAUAAAGUUGCUCACUUGAAAGUCAUACUAGAAAAGAAAAAAAUCCAAAAACAUCAAAAGAAAAAAAUGGAAUGCAGUCUUUAUCUGAUACACAGAGUCAUCUCUAAAAUUAAAUGAAUCCAAAAUUGCCUCUAAAAGAUUCCUUUUAGAAGGCAAAUGAAGUAUACCCCAAUUUUUUUCCACAAGUAUUAGUCACAAGCUUUGACCAUCUGGGCCAGUAAUCUUGUUCAUUGCCUAGAAAAGUAAUUCAGCUCCAGAUAUUCUUUAAUAAAUUAGUAAGCUUUGUAUUAUUAUAUUUGGCAUGUAGAUAAAAAUUUUAAAUAAAAUAUAUAAGAUAUGUUUUUAUUCAUAUGUGUUUAUAUGUUAUCUGUAUGUAAACUUUUCUACUCUUUGUAGUAUUGCCAAAAUUAAGUUGUCAUAGAACUUUAUUUAAUUAACUUAAAUAUAAUAUUAAGUGCUUACAUUAAUUAAGUAUUCCUCAAAUUCUUACAAGGAUAUAAACUAACCCAAAUUAUUUUCCAAGUUAAUGUAUACUGGGAUAAUCUUUGGGAAAAAGAAAAACAUUUAAAAUGUGUCAUUUUGAUUAAAAUAGACAUGUGUUUUGAGUUGUCAGAAAUAAAUAUAGAAUGAAACUUUUCCUACUUAGGUUUAUUAGUAAAAUAAGCUGAUGUUAUCUGUAUAAUACAAAAUUUUUUCAGCAAGGAAAAUAACUCAAGAUGAUUGCUAUCUAUGCAUUGUCUCAUUUUCAUAAGCAAUAGUAGCAAAAUUGCUAGUGUCUUAAAAUAUGUAAGUAAGAUUAAAUUCCCAUGUGAGAGAUGUUUUUCCUAUACCAAAAUGUUUUACUAUUCUUAUCAUAAUGCACAGAAAGUUGAGGCUGAGGGAAAUCUCUAUUAACUAUAUAAUUCUCAGGCCUAACUUAAAAAAAAGAAAAAGACAAAGCUAAGAGGAUUGAAAUAAAAUUUUUCCUCCUUUACAGUUUUUUAUUAAAGAGAGACUGAAGAUAUUUGGGACAGUUAGUAAACAUGUUCUGUGAUGCAAUGCAAAUUGUGCUAUAAGAAAACAUAUACUUGUAGAAAUUAUGAUUCAUAGACUUCCAGUCCACACAUUGUUGGUGUGACUGACAGUUCACAAAUUGCCAGUGUUCACUGAAAAUUAAGGUAAAUAAGGGUUAAGAAUUCUAACUAAUAUAUAUGUAGUUGAAAUCAAUGGAAGUAAUGAAGGAAACAAUACCAUAUGCAAGAAUACAAAGAAGGGAAGAUGUACUUUUUAGGAAAUCUAAAAGGCAUGAGAAUGUUAAGGGAAACAGAGGAUCAUUUUUAUUUUAAAGUAGAAAGACUAGUGGAUUCAAAGUGAAAAAGAGGAAAGGUAAGGGACAAAAACUGAAUGGAUAUAAGAAAGUUUUGCAAGAUUUAUUGAAGAGUAAUCUUUGAAAAUGAAUUGUGUGUCUGAUCAAGCUGGUUAAGAUAAAAAGUAAAUUAUAAGUUUUUUCUAAAAAAUGAACAUUAAUAUCAAAAUUACAUUGAUAAGAAACUAGAAGCUGAUUCUCUCUGUUAAGUAAAUUUUUUUUUUUCCUGAAGUGUUUGUCUGCUCUAAAUAGGGAAUUAAGAAAGGAUUUUCUCUGUAUUUCAGAUAAUUGAACUAGAAAACAAAGGCUCUGUUUCUAUCAAGAUAUUUCUUUGUUUUCUCUAUAAGAUUGAGCCAGGGUCAAAUUACCUAUGAUAAUCUACUUAAUAAACAGUGAUACACACCUGAAUUGUAGAAAAAAAAAACAAAACAUAUUUAAAGAUAUUCCUUUGUUUCACUUUGUCUUUAUUAGGUCAUUUAUUACUUAAGAAAACUGAAUUUUAUUAAAUGAGCUAAGGGGUUUUCCCCCUUAUAACUAUGUAACUUUCUCUAUUUGCCUUUGAAGUAUUUUUUAAUCAUUUGAUUAAUCAAAUGACUAUUGUGAUUCUGUUUUAAUCAAGAGUUUUAAACUCUUAGAAAUUUUUGAUAAUUUCUCCAGAACAAAUUUUAAAGAAAUUCUGAUGAGAUAUUUUUGGAGUAUUGGUUUCUUAUGGCUCCCUAAAAUAUCACAAAAAACUUUAUUACUUCUCCUUAUAAAAUUAGAACUACUAAAUUAAUUAAGAUGACUUGAUAUGUAAAAUUGCAUGAGAAGCAUUGUAAAAUAAUAAAUUAUACUUAGCUUUCUUUAAGUUAUGUUGAGUAUGUUGAGCAUGUAACCAGGGUGUGUUUCAAAAAUGUAUGAAAUCUGAGAGUCCAGGUGUAGUUAUAGUCAGCAUACUAAUUAUUAUCUUAAAAUAUUGUGUUUUGAAGAAAUAACAAAAUUUCCUGUCAAUUGCAUUCUAAUAAACUCUCAUAAGAUCUUUAGCCAUGGUUAUGUAAAACCUUGUCAUCAGCUGAUAGUUAAUUAUUUAAUUUUGGUACACUUCUAAAAGCUAUGCAUGGAAGUAUAAACCUAAGAUCUUUAGUACUGAGAAGAUUUAUGGAGAGAACACUGGCAAGUACAAGUUUUUGAUAACUUUAAUAUCAUACCAUUGAACUGGGUAAGAAUUCUCAGAAAUCCAUUGAAGAAAGUGGUUGGCUCAUUUAAAACAUCUAACCUAACAUUAAGUAGUGUAGGAAUUAAUUUAGUACUAGGAAAUGCUUUAGGAGACUUUUAAGUGAGCCAGUAAUGAAAUUGUUAAAAUAUACAAAUUGAAUGAACUCUAUAAGAUUGAGCCAGGGUCAAAUCACCUAUGAUAACCGACUUAAUAAACAGUGAUACACACCUGAAUUGUAGAAACAAAACAAAACAUAUUUAACAGAAUAAAAAUUCAGUGUUAAGGGUGGAUCUAUGGGUAGUCUAGAUGACCAACUGGCCUUCUUGAGUUCUUUUUAAAUUUUUUUUUUAAUUUGUUCUUUACAGAUAUACAUGACAGUAUUAUUAUACAUACAUGGAGUAUAACUUGUUCUAAUUAAGAUUCCAUUCUUAAGGUUACACAUGAAGUAGAGUUCCACUGGUGGGGUGUUCAUAUAUAAAUUUGGAAAGGAAUGUUCCAUUCAUUCUACUGUCUUUCCUAUUCCUAUCUCCCUCCCAUUCAUUCAUUCCCCUUUGUCUAAACUACUGAAUUUUUAUUCUUUCCCUCCCUACCUCUUGUUGUCUGUUAGCAUCCACAUAUCAAAGAGAACAUUCAACUUUUGCUUUUUGGGAAUUGACCUAUUUCACUUAGCAUGAUGUAGGGAUUCUGACCAUGGAAAUGUACAGAGAAAUGUUCCCCUAACAAACUCCUAGGAGUUAACAGGCAUCCUGUUUCCCACCCUUAGAAUGCCAUGCAAUCUCUCUUAGGAUCUAGUAAUGUAGCUAAUAUAUGUGCAAUGUCUAGCUGGUAUGCAAUGCCCUGAGAAGCCUCUGUGUUAGAGCUUCAUCAAGCCUUGACCUUGAUUGCAAGCACAUAGCUCCUGGGAAUAAAGAAACUUGGUUGAUAGAUAACUACAAUGUUUCAUCAAGCUCUGUUGCUUCUGGAUCUACCUGCCUAACAACUACAGACAAUGGACUUUCUUGAGAACUGCACAAAGCUCCUAACAUUGCAUAUUGUAACUUUGAAAUAUAACUGCAGUAUAAGCAACCUUACUGUUACUCUAAACAGUAAUGUAGUUAAGGUACUAAUGACCUAUUGUAACCUAUUGGUAUAAAUAAAUGUGGCUGCUUGGACAAAAAGUCACUCUGCCACCUUCCCUGCCUCUGCACCUUGUCUCUGUCUCCUCUUUAUUAUUAUUCCCUACAACUGGUGACCAAUGUUGGGGCACAAGACAAGAUAUCUCCCCCCAAAUCCUCUCAAUCCACAGAGAGUUUGGGACAGCAGAAUCUGCCUUAAUAGAG
Molecule: long non-coding RNA, 20198 nt
Filed under: Marmota monax (woodchuck)
Lineage: Eukaryota; Metazoa; Chordata; Mammalia; Rodentia; Sciuridae
Source: RNAcentral